CACAAAUGGGCGGCCAUUGGAUGUGGGACACGCCAAGAACUGGCAGCCAUUGGAGAUUUGGACAACCCAAGAUGGCGGCUAUUGGUGACACAAGAUGGCGGCCAUUGGGUUUGGACACCCAAGAUGGCGGCCAUUGGUGACACAAGAUGGCGGCCAUUGGCUUUGGACACCCAAGAUGGCGGCCAUUGGAUUUGGACACCCAAGAUGGCGGCUAUUGGUGACACAAGAUGGCGGCCAUUGAACAUGGACACUCAAGAUGGCGGCAUUGAAAAUUGGAAUAUUAGCUUUGGGGACAACAAGAUGGCGGCCAUUGGUGACACAAGAUGGCGGCCAUUGGCUUUGGACACCCAAGAUGGCGGCCAUUGCCAUUGGAUAUUGGCUUUGGUGACACAAGAUGGCGGCCAUUGGCUUUGGACACCCAAGAUGGCGGCAGUGUGCUUUGGACAUAGACCCAAAGAUGGCGGCCAUUGUGGACAACAAAGAUGGCGGCAAUUGGCUAGGACACCCAAGAUGGUGGCCAUUGCCAUUGGACAUUGGCUUUGAUGACACAAGAUGGCGGCCAUUUGGCUUUUGGACAUCCCAGAUGACAGCGCCAUGCCAGUUGGAUCAAUUGGCUUUGAUGACAGCAGAAGAUGGCGGGCCAUUGGGAUUGCACCCAAGAUGGCGGCCAUUGGCUUUGGACACCCAAGAUGGCGGCCAUUGGUGACACAAGAUGGCAGCCAUUGGCUUUGGACACUGAAGAUGGCGGCCAAUGGACCCAUCAGAAAGCCAAUAUGGUCAUAAAUUGGACCCAAUCGAGAAACCAAUUGGACCCAUCAGAACCCUUGGGACCCAUCAGAACCCAUUGGGACCCAUCAAACCAAAUUGGACCAUCAGAACCAUUGGACCCAUCAGAACCGAAUUGGGACCAUCAGAACGCCAUUGGACCAUCAGAACCAAUUGGACCCAUAUCAAAGCAACCAAUUGCGGUCAGCAAUGGACCCAGUCAGCCCCAUUGGACCCAUCAGAACCAAUUGGGAGACCCUCAGAACCAAUUGGGACCCAUCAGAACCAAUAUUGGGUCAGCAUUGGACCCAUCAGAACCAAUUGGACCCAUCAGAACCCAUUGGGACCCAUCAGAACCCAUUGGGACCCAUCAGAACCCAUUGGGACCCAUCAGAACCAAUUGGGACCCAUCAGAACCAAUUGGACCCAUCAGAACCCAUUGGACCCAUCAGAACCAUUGUGACCCCAUGCAGAACCAAUGUGGACCCCAUCAGAACCGCAUUGCGGAACCCAUCAAACCAAUUGGCCAUCAAGAACCCAUUGGACCCAUCAGAACAAAUAUUGGUCAGCAUUGGACCCAUCAGAACAAUAUGGGAACCCAUCAGAACCCAUUGGACCAUCAGGAACCAAUUGCGGACCAUCAGAACCCACUUGGACCCAUCAGAACCCAUUGGACCCAUCAGAACCCAUUGGGACCCAUCAGAAACCAAUAUGGGUCAGUAUAUGGGACCAUCAAACCAAUUGGACCCAUGCAGAACCAAAUUGAAACCCAUCAGAUACCCAUUGGGACCACAUCAGCAACCCAUUGGACCCGUAUUAGGGGGGGUCCCUAUAGUUUGUAGUGUUGGGCUGGGAUAUAGGGUUGUUUUAUGGGGGCGGCGGGCGGCAUAUUUUGGGGUAGAAAUGAGAAGUUGGGGUUUGUGGGGGGGGGAGGAGAUUUUGGGGGUGUUUUGUAAUAAAGAAGUGAAAGAAAUUGAGGGGUUCUUUUUU
Molecule: long non-coding RNA, 1755 nt
Organism: Coturnix japonica (Japanese quail)
Lineage: Eukaryota; Metazoa; Chordata; Aves; Galliformes; Phasianidae
Source: Ensembl